CACAUGGCUAAGAAACUGAAUUUUAGUUAUUAUAGCUGCAAUUACAACAAAAGAUGCUAGAGCGAUUAAUAUCACGUCAAUCAUUUGGACUAUUAUGUGAAAAACUUUUAUAUGAAUGAACUCUUAUUGGAUAGUAUUAAGGGUCCUGUUGAGCUGAGAAACGUUUAUUGGAAACUCGGAAUAAUAAACUAACCUGGUCCACCAAUGGCAAUCCAUGCUUGGUACAUUUUUAAAAUGUUUACCGAUCUCCCACCACCUAUGUUGCUUUCAAUGACAUGGGCACUUAAAUGAGUUGUACUUGGACCUAAAUCUGCUAGCAGAAAAAACUAGAAAGAAAAUUUUCAAAGGAAUUUAAUGUGAGGAACUAAAAAUACUGCACUUUAUCUCAUUGAAAUAAAAUGGAGGUCAGAGGAUGUGCGGAAUGAGUUUUGGUUCCUGUCACAUUUCUUUCCAACAUCUACUUUGUUAACUGGAGUACAUUUGAUUACUUUGGUAAUUCCCAAAGUUUUAUGCAUCAAGAGGCUGAAGGACUGCAGAAAUGAAGAAUUCUUCCUACCCUUGUGGCCUGUGCUAAAAUGAAGCACAACUGUAGUGUGUAUUUCUUCAAAGAACGAUAAAUACUUAUUACCUGCAACAAUGUUUAUAAUGACAUUUUCAUAAAACUUUGAAGUCUAGCAUUGUCAAUUGAUUCGUAGGUUGAAAUUCGGCUUAACGCGUAUUCUACAGUUAAGUACUGACAGGUGACAUGUAUAAAGUUGAAUUUAUGUGUGGUGAUGACACAAACUUAUGGAGAUUUGCUGGCAAAAAGUUGAUUCCUUCAACAGAAGUGAUUUUAAAACUCUCUGCUGCCAGUGUAUUUUUGUACCUCUUUCUGUUAAGGAACAACCAAUCUUAAUGUUGUUCUUUGAUGGAUCUGGAUUAUUGGCGAUAUUGAGAAGUAAUCCGUAACUUUCCCGUGCAUCACUUGCUGCAUCGCUAUUACGGCCAGUAAUGCAAUCCGACACCUGGAGCCAUGUACCAAGAAAUACGAAAGUCAUGUCCAUCAGCUCAAUCUUCCAAACCUAAAAAAGCCGAUGAUGUUAUGUGACUAAGCAAUCCAAGUAGCCGAAGAUGCUGCAAGCUACUUUAUCUUGUGUCCGGAGCAUUGUUUUCUAGUUAGGUCAAUGACACUGACGUAUGCGGAUAUCCUUAAGUACGGGAAUCCGGCGCCCGCUCGGACGUGAUAAGAUUGUGCUCAUGCUGGUAAGCGGCGGAAUGGAUUCCGCCGUUUGUGCUGUCCUUCUACAUAAAGCACUCCUACAGGGUGACGACUCUUCGAGAGUGCAGGCCAUCCAUAUCGAUAACGGUUUCCUGCGUAAAGACGAAUCCGAGCAGGUCGUCACUAGUUUACAGCAACUUGGGCUCAAUCUUCGGGUUGUUGAAGUAAGUUUGACUUUCCGUGAUGCCUCCACCAACGUGCAUGGUCGCCAAACUUUGUCGUUGGGAUUGACAGUAAAGACUUAUCAUAACGAUUCCGAAAUUGUUCAUCAGUUGCGCCUUCACGGCCGUGUAGUAGAACCUCUGGAAGACUUCCAUAAAGAUGAAGUAAGAGCCUUAUCCGGAUUGCUUGAUUGGCUACCAGGUAAAUUCCAUCCGGCUCGUUGGUCUAGGGGUAUGAUUCUCGCUUUGGGUGCGAGAGGUCCCGGGUUCAAAUCCCGGACGAGCCCAUCAAGUAAUGUAAUAUUUUAAUUUAAAAUUUGUAAAUCCUCCUGCUAUCCGGAUCGCUUGAUCGGCUUCCCAGUAUGUUUUAUCAGGCUCGUUGGUCUAGGGGUAUGAUUCUCGCUUUGGGUGCGAGAGGUCCCGGGUUCAAAUCCCGGACGAGCCCUUAAGUUUGUUUUAAAUCUAAAAAAUUCUUUAUUUGGCAAAUCCACCUGCUAUCCGGAUUGCUUAAUUGGCUACCUGAAAGGUUUCAUCCGGCUCGUUGGUCUAGGGGUAUGAUUCUCGCUUCGGGUGCGAGAGGUCCCGGGUUCAAAUUCCGGACGAGCCCUUGUUCUCACAUGAUAUUUUAAUUUAAGUUUGUAAAUCCACGUUCUAUCCGGAAUUCCGGACUGCUUAAUUAUUACCUGUCUAAGUUUCAUUGGCUCGUUGGUCUAGGAGUAUGAUUCUCGCUUAGGGUGCGAGAGGUCUCGGGUUCAAAUUCCGGACGAGCCCAUGAAGUAAUGUAAUAUUGUAAUUUCAAA
This 2219-nucleotide transfer RNA is filed under the name Daphnia magna. RNAcentral's name for it is "uncharacterized LOC123476827, transcript variant X4". The stretch from base 1635 to 1706 matches the Rfam family "tRNA". Lineage: Eukaryota; Metazoa; Arthropoda; Branchiopoda; Diplostraca; Daphniidae. The record is from RNAcentral.